Neolamprologus brichardi is the source of this 55-nucleotide microRNA precursor. The record is from Ensembl. Lineage: Eukaryota; Metazoa; Chordata; Actinopteri; Cichliformes; Cichlidae.
CAUUCAGUUCAGAGAUCAUGUCUGCAAGAGUGCAGGGGCAGAUUUCUGAUCUGGC